Long non-coding RNA from Zingiber officinale, 729 nucleotides. RefSeq lists it as uncharacterized. NCBI's taxonomy places the organism in Eukaryota, Viridiplantae, Streptophyta, Magnoliopsida, Zingiberales, Zingiberaceae. The transcript has 5 exons. The record is from RefSeq and is a predicted model, not a curated record.
UCCUCUUCCUCCGCUGCCUCCUUCAAGGGUUGCUGCUGCUGCCUCUUCCUACUCCUCACCUUCCUCCAAAUUGUUAACUCAUAUGAACACAUUGCAUCUUUGUUAACAUUUCAACGACUGAGGCUUCCUCCAAGUGUUUAACGUUGGGAACUUCAGAGUGGAACCACCAGGGUUAUUUCGUGGCCGAGGAGAGCAUCCAAAGAUGGGAAAACUAAAAAACAGAAUUAAGCCAAGAGAUAUUACAAUCAAUAUAGGAAAAGAUGCACCAAUUCCGGAAUGCUCAAUACCUGGUGAAAGGAUUAUAUACAAAAUAUUUGAAGAAACUAUACAAGAGAUUUUAAUAGUAAAGAUCCAACAAAGCGGCAAAUAGCAGUGGCAACUUACCUUUAUUGAUAAGCUGGCUCUCAGGGCAGGCAAUGAAAAGAAAUUGAUGAGGUGCGAUCGGAGUUGGCAGAAUGUAUACAAGAUCAUGUUUAUGAGUAGGUGUGCUCAAGUUUAUGUAAGUUCAUUACCAUGUUUUAGCUAAAGUUUAUGUAAGUUCAUUAUCUUUAGCAAAAAGCAACUUCUUACUUCUUUGGAAUCCAUUUUCAUCUAUGCUUGUCUUUCCCUUCCAAUGCUUAGUACAUCUUAUGAGAUGCAAUCUACCCUUGUUAGUUUUUUCCUAUACUCUUAAAGUUAAAGAAAUGUUAUGAGAUUCACUACUUGUCUUUCUAAUUAUCUUUUCACUAC